GCGCCCGUAGCUCAGUUGGAUAGAGCGCCGGGCUUCGAACCCGUAGGUCGGGGGUUCAAAUCCCUCCGGGCGCG
This 74-nucleotide transfer RNA is filed under the name Chloroflexota bacterium. Its description in RNAcentral is "tRNA-Arg". It matches the Rfam family "tRNA". Rfam says of the family: Transfer RNA (tRNA) molecules are approximately 80 nucleotides in length. The record is from RNAcentral. Lineage: Bacteria; Bacillati; Chloroflexota.